UACGGAGGGGGCUAGCGUUGUUCGGAAUUACUGGGCGUAAAGGGCGCGUAGGCGGCGCGAUAAGUUGGGCGUGAAAGGCCCGGGCUCAACCCUGAGCGUGCUUCCGAUACGGGCAGACUAGAGGUAUGCAGGGGAGAACGGAAUUCCUGGUGUAGCGGUGGAAUGCGCAGAUAUCAGGAGGAACACCGGUGGCGAAGGCGGUUCUCUGGGCAUUACCUGACGCUGAGGAGCGAAAGCGUGGGGAGCAAACAGG
Molecule: ribosomal RNA, 253 nt
Filed under: uncultured bacterium
Lineage: Bacteria
Description: partial 16S ribosomal RNA
Rfam family: Bacterial small subunit ribosomal RNA
Source: RNAcentral